Molecule: non-coding RNA, 81 nt
Organism: Knufia fluminis
Lineage: Eukaryota; Fungi; Ascomycota; Eurotiomycetes; Chaetothyriales; Trichomeriaceae
Source: the annotation of a GenBank genome assembly
ACUCUGCAGGCAAUGGUAGCGCGCCAGACUUCUAAACGAAGUCACAUCUGGAGGCUGUGGGUUCGAGUCCCACGCAGAGUG